Molecule: transfer RNA, 76 nt
Filed under: Bacteroidales bacterium
Lineage: Bacteria; Pseudomonadati; Bacteroidota; Bacteroidia; Bacteroidales
Description: tRNA-Asn
Rfam family: tRNA
About the family: Transfer RNA (tRNA) molecules are approximately 80 nucleotides in length.
Source: RNAcentral
GGGUGGUUAGCUCAGUCGGUAGAGCAGCAGGCUGUUAACCUGCGGGUCGGGGGUUCGAGCCCCUCACCACUCGCCA